RNAcentral lists this ribosomal RNA (236 nucleotides) under uncultured bacterium. RNAcentral describes it as "partial 16S ribosomal RNA". It matches the Rfam family "Bacterial small subunit ribosomal RNA", at positions 118 to 354 of the family's 1533-position model. The record is from RNAcentral.
UGAGCAAUCUGCCCUUCUCUUUGGAAUAAGCGUUGGAAACGACGUCUAAUGCCGAAUACGACCUCCUUUCGCAUGAUCGGAGGUGGAAAGCUCCGGCGGAGAAGGAUGAGCUCGCGGCCUAUCGGCUAGUUGGUGUGGGUAAUGGCCCACCAAGGCGACGACGGGUAGCCGGCCUGAGAGGGUGACCGGCCACACUGGGACUGAGACACGGCCCAGACUCCUACGGGAGCAGCAGG